GAAAUGCGAUAAGUAGUGUGAAUUGCAGAAUUCAGUGAAUCAUCGAAUCUUUGAACGCACCUUGCGCUCUCUGGUAUUCCGGAGAGCAUGCCCGUUUCAGAAUCAUUAAAAUCCACCGUACCUUUAGGGGGUCUGCUUUAAAGCAGCUCUCCUGAGUGGUGCGGAUGAUGGAUGCUUUGCGAUUGCCAAUUGCAAUCAUCUUUAAUGAAUUGUGCAUGCUGCAACCGGUUGGUUGAUGUGGCAUAUAAAGUGCAACAGAUUAUUUCUCUUCCACUUGGUAUGCUUCUCGAUCUAGGAUGUGUGUGUACUCAACCAUUUAACGGUUGCUGUGACUUUUGUCUUAGCUUCUGAUAACUUGGUCUGAAAUCGGGCAAGAAAACCCGCUGAACUUAA
This 393-nucleotide unclassified non-coding RNA is filed under the name uncultured fungus. RNAcentral's name for it is "sequence contains ITS1". The stretch from base 1 to 105 matches the Rfam family "5.8S ribosomal RNA", at positions 50 to 154 of the family's 154-position model. Lineage: Eukaryota; Fungi. The record is from RNAcentral.